GUAAAAUCUGUUUAUAUAAUUGUUUUUUAAUAGAAUUAAUAAGAGCCCUGUGGUGAUAGCUUAUAGAAGAUGUCUGUUCUCUGAAAAGAGCAAGUAAUUUUCUCAAAAUUUGAAGUCCUUUUUUGCAAGCUUAGAAAUAAUUCUAAUUUGAGCAAACACAUAAAAAAGAUUCUGAUGAUCUUGAGCUUUUUUUCUGUACGUUUUACAGAACUCUUGUUAUCCAAACAUCCUGUGUUUAUCUUUUCUGUGCUAAUUUUGCUCGUUCCAACACAGAAAAAUGUUAAAGAUAAUUGAAAUUAUAAAGUGCUUUGUUUUGAGUGUCCUUUAGAGUAAACCUCCAGUAAGAUCGUGGUUAGUUCACGUUGGGAAGGUACUGUUUUUCUAACAGGCUUUUGACUUAAGCUUUUAAGAUGCUAAGAUAUUCAGGUCCAUGAGGUUCUCCUUCACGUGUUCCUUCAUGCAAGCAUGCGGUACCUCAGACAUAUACUUGCAUUAUACAAUCUUGAAUAGCCUAGGAUUCAUGCUUGAUUUUGUAAAUGGGUCUGGGGUUGCCUUUACUCUGUAACUUUAUUUUAACUUUCAGUCUAUCUUUUGAAUUUUCAAGAUCAAGACAAACUUAAGCACAACAUCAGAUAAGGGGAACUUAUCAUGUUAUUAGUUUUACUCAUAUUCUGACUAAAUCAAAAUGUAACGCAGUGUUAUUGACGUGAUUUGUGAUGCAGAUACAUACUCCUCUUGUACUUACAUCUUUAUGUGAAUACAGAAAUACUGGGAAAAAAAACGCUCCUGGGUAUCCCAAGAUAUUUCUCAAACAUACAGCAGAAAAACAACAUUGAGAAGUUAAUAUUGUAAAUGUGUUCUUUGGAGAAUUGGCUCAUGGCAGGAAUGCUUGCUGGAAGGCUCUAAAUCUCAGUCUUACUCAUCAGCUUAUGAAAAAUGAUGGUAUUUUAAAAGCCCAACUGGUGUUUAAAGAUAUGUAAGGCCAGAAAAUCAAUUUGUGAAUCAUGAUAAGUAAUGGUAAGUACCAGCAGCCUGGCACUUUGUUGGAACUUCAAUCAUUUUUACCUAUGUUAACAGCAUGGAAGAUAAUCUCAGGUUAACUCUUUUGAUUCAGAAGUUGAUUUCCUCAAGUUAGAUAUCUAUAAAAGAAACAGAAAAAGCACCUAACUUCUUCCCAGUUUGUAUGACUGUGGAAAAUUAAUCCAAACAAAUAGAUUAGUGUUACAUUCCUAUUAUAGUGAAUGUAGUUAAUGAAUAUGAUAAUAAGCUGAAGCACAUCUAAUCAAACUGGAAUAAAAUUAUUGUUACUAAAUCAUAGUGUUUAUAACCAAUUUUUAAGUGAGAUGACAUCACAUGUUAAUUUAACAUAAAAUGUGGGCAGAGUUUCUUUUGGACCAAGGUCAAAGAUGAAGCUUUUCUGUUUUAUUUUUCACUCCCACAAGAAGAAUGUCACAAUUCAAUCAGUCUUUUGCUUUAUUGAUGGCUGGAAAUCAAUUAGCCCUGGUCAUGUUUGAGGGAAGAUGAAAUGCUAGCUUUUUAUCUCUCUGUUCAUACUUCUUGCAACUAAAUGCAUAAAAUAGGAUUCUGCAAACCUCCAUGGAUAUCUUCUGUAAGACUGCUGUCAGGGUUCUAGUAUGGCUUUUUACAAUUUCAGCUGCUCAUUUACUCUAUCUGUCAGUUCUAGUUAAAAUUACUGUUUAUAUAUUUUCCUAUUCUAGGUGAUCUGUAUGUGUGUAUAUGUAUUAUAUAUUCGCUUUUGAUAUGGUUCUCUCUUGAAAAAUCCAGCAUUUUGUUGGAAAAACAGAUAUUUGAAUCCUCUUACAAUUCUGCUGUUGAGGUAAAAAUCUUCUCCCCGACUCUAGUAUCUUUGUUCUGAAAACAGGAGCAACCUUUACAUUGUUACUGGUGCACAAGGGACAGUAACUGUAGAUAUGUUAAGCAAUCCUGCUGAGGUUCAGCAUAGUUGAACAACAGGGAUUUAUGGUUGCUCUGAUACUGUUGAGCACUUGUUCUACAGUACAAUAAAUUUAGGGUUAGUCUGUCUGUUCUCUGUGGGAUCAAAGUUUUAGCUAAUUGCAUGUGUUUAAUUUUUCCACUGAUGGUUAAAGCACAACCUAAUAAACUCUACAGUUCGGACACUAUUGCCAUGUAAUAUUUUACAUAGCUGUAUUAAUAACAUCCUAUGAUAAUUCUAUACCACUGCCAGCCAAGAUACUAAAAUGUUUUAGUGAUACGUUUAGUGUAAUGUCACAAAACCCCAUUACAAUAUGUAGUGUGCAAACACACAUUUUAAGUAUGAACUCAGUUCCCUCGUACCUAACAGGUUUGCGUGUGGUGGGGCUUUCUUUGUUUUUGUUUCUUUGUUUGUUUCUUUUGGUCAUUAUUGCUGUUCUUGUUCCUGUUCUGUUUUUCUUUAUCUGCUGUAUCAUCUUUAGUGACAUUUGUUAUAAUUAGGCAAUUUAGUUUUCACAGUGGCAGUUCACUUCAGGACACUGCUACACUAAGUUAUCACUCUAAAACCCAGUACAUCCAGUGGAAGAGAAUAUGGGCAUAAGGAUUCAGUAGUACAGAAACAACAGAAUACAAAGGACAUUCGUGGAUGUAUAAUAUUAAGUAGUAAUGUUGAAUCAAAGUGGAGGUCAUCUUCAUAUUUAAUUAUUUUUUUGGUGGCCACACUAUCGUGGAAUGACCAAUACAACCAUGCUGGCAGGGAAAAGAGGAACAGCACUGUCAGAGGUAGCAGCUCUGUCCAUGCAGACUUGCUUCUGACUGCAGUGCUGACCUCUGAAAUACUCCACCAUGGGCCAAAGGGAAGAAAUUUCUGUCCCGUUAAUAUAUCUUAUGCCUUUCGGUAUUUCUUAGUAGGAAUUUUACCUAGUAUUAGAUUUCCAUAUUUACCAGAAGUCAAAAAGUGACUGAACUCUUAUUUAUGUAAGAAUUGAAAACUGCGUUAUCUGUGAUCUCUAGUAGUGUGUUCAAAGAAUUAACAGUCUCAGAAAGUAGUUAAACUUCCAGUCAUUGGGUCAUGGCACAAUCAAAUAUUCAAAAUGCAUGUUUAUGUAUAAAUACAUAAUUAAUGAAACACUUAGAUAGAUGUAUUUGUAUCUGAAGUCUUACAAGAAAAGUAUCACUUCAGUGUGUUUCCUUCUUAUGUUUUUGACUGAGAUAUUUGAAAUCCAGGUAUCUUUGUAACAGGAACAUAUGUUUAAGAAAGAAAAGCUGUUUACAGUUUGUCUAAAAGAAUAUGAAUAAGUAAAAAUACGUUUUUUUUCCCUUUCAUUUUAUUUCCUGAAAACUUAAAACAAUGCAUAAUCAAGAAAAAUGUGAAUUCAAGGGACAAUGGGUGAAAUUCAGAACCUUCUUUAGUCAGUGGGAAGUCUUACUGACUUCAAUGAAGCCAAUAUUUUACCUGAUGCACCAACGUUCCAAUUCUUAUGAAAAUGCAGUGGUAAGUCAUUAAUCAUAACAAUAUAGAGUUACAGUAGUACAAAGCCAUACAUUAAAUUUUGAUACAAAAAGUUAUUGUUUUCUCUGUACCUAGGGGAGGUCCUGGUGAUAGUACUCCCACGAAAAUGAAAUUCAAAGGGGAUAUUAUAUUCAAGAUAGAAAAUAUAUGCUGAUUGCAGCAGGAAGUACUGGUGUUUUUCUUUUUUGAAAGAAAUAUAGUUACAAGGCACAGCCUAAGCCUGAGCCUAAAAACAUUCCCUUGGUGGCUUUACAUUUUCUUCAGAUGUCAUAUGGUUCUUCUACCAGCAGCUAUUACUUCAAGGUUAAGACACAUGCAAUACUAGAUGUGAUAUUAAUAUGGAUGAAUUGGAACAGAAAGGUUAUUUUAAAUUGCCACUAUUCACAGAUAUGUUGAAUCUUUAAAAUCAAAACUGUGCACUUUUGUAGAAGAACUAUGAAAUGCCCUUAGUAAUAUGAAAGCAUUUCCUGCUGAUAGCCAAAAUACCAGAAGUGAAUAUUAAAUAACUUCCAAAUCAUUGCAUCUGUUCUUCCUCUUCCUUUGCAAAUCUUUAAGGUACAAAAUAGGUAUCUUCAGUUUAAGAAUAACACUUAAAAUAUCUUAGUGGUCCCUGACAGUAAUUACUCUAUUUCUGAUGUUAUAGUGCUGUAAAGCUAUUAAAAAAAAAUAAAUUAAAUCCAGGGGAUUAUGCUUUGCAGAUUGAAAAGUAAUAUCCUGGAGAAAUUAUUAUUUCUCCUAUAAAACUGGGAUGGGGAAAAAGUAUACUGGGAAUUUAAAAGGAAGUUCUUCUCCAUUCAGUUGUAAAUAUUUAAAGCAUUCCAUGUAGUUUUUAUUGCAUUCUUAUAUAAUAAUCUACUUCAUCAGAAAAAUAGUCAAGACAUGCACAAAAUAUGAAUUGUAUUUUUAUAUAUCAUAAAAAUGUUAGGUAACUUUUGAACUGUUGCCAAAACCAUGAGCAGACUAUGUCAACUUACUCUGAAAAAGCAGAUAGAAAAUUGUAAUCCAGUAUAACUAUAUGAAACUCAAGGAGAUACGCAGUAAAAUAUGACAGAAUACUUUUGGUGACAGUUCAGUGAGGAAAAGUAGAUUUGGCUGCUAGGCUGUCUCCAGAUUUGUCUACAGUUUUCAUCACUCAAGCUCUUAAACACAUUGUAAAAGUAGCUUUUAGGCUGAAGCACCGGAAAUGCUGACACAGCCAGAAGAACGAAACCCGCUGUGUGAUUCUACCAUUUUAAAAGGAUAUUAUGUAUGAUUCUCUAUACUGAAGGAAGGAAAACAGUCUUCUUUCAACUCUAUUUCCUUUGUACAGUAAUGUGCUGUACCUGUCCACAUUAUUAUGUCUUUUUUUCAUGUUAAAUUUAGUUAUUGUCCUGUGUUUUACACAUUAGCAUUUCUGCAACAAGCAGAAAGAUUACAAAGACAUUAUACUACCCUUCCUUCAUCAUAAAUGUAGAUGAAAGACUCAUUCUACUGUUUCAAGAGCAAAAUGCUCUGUCCAGGAGUCCAUAGAGAAAGAAGCCAACAGUUAAGAUAAUUUGAAAAGUUGGCAGCAGCGUUUCAGUGUAGCCAGAAAGAUAUUGGAAUGCCAUCUAGUAGAAUAAGAAGUAGGAAAGAUAUACUUAAAUACACAAAAUAACCAGUGGGAUAAAAGGUUUUUUUUUUUUUUUUAAUAAGUAAAUAUAUAUGCUACUUCUUUACAAAAGUGUUAUUUCUUUAAAUAAACAAUGCACAUUUUUAUGAAUGGCCAUAUGGACAAAAUCGGCCAAAGAGGAGCAUUUAAAUUUCUGUGCAGGUGACCCAGACCUUCCAGGAUGUGUUUAUGUUCCCAUCCAAUUCAACUCUCCCUUUGUCAUGCAGCAGACAGUUUGUGUAUCCUGCCACUGUGGGACUGCCACCACAGCCGUGCUCAUCAGUCAAACUCAGUGGAAGCCCUCUGAGAUUUCAAAGUCUACUAGCUUACAAGCAGAGCUGGCUUCGGGGUUUGGUACGGUUCUUAGGUAAUGUUAUGCUCCUCUGAAAUAUCAGCAAAAUGGCUUUAAAAUGUACUUUAUUAUUUACACGUCUGUAUGGGUGAAUAUAAGAAGUUAAAAAGAUGUUGUUGUGACAUUGCCUUCAUAAGUAAAUUAGGGUAGUUUCCACAACAAAAUAUCUAGAAGCUGCUUCAAUACAUUCAUGCAGGAAUUACAGCAUGAUAGCUACAGCAUGAAAAAAGAAUGUGCUUUUUCCAUUUUUCACUAAUAUAUUUCAAGAUAGUCUCCUGUGAAGUGUUCUUUCUGAGCUGUUGCUUACUUGAUGGUUCAUUUUUGGAUUGGUCUCUUAAAUAUAAAAUAGGUAUCUGGUAAGAUAUGCAAUUAAAAUGAGGCCAUAAAUGGGGAUUAAUUUACAGGAGGAUUAUGAGAAUGGUUCUAAAUCUUACUAUAUAAAUAAGGAGUACAAAUGUAACCCAAAGCAUUCAUUGGACUGAUUGGUAGAAGUAAUUUAACAGUCAGCAGAGGAAUGACAUUGGAAUUGUCUUCUUAUGUUAUGCAAUUUAAUCAAAUAUAUGCUAAAGAAUUCCAGCUCUAUCCACAGUGUCACCUUGACCAAUUCCGUAUUCCAUGUAUUGCACAGGAAAACCUGUUUCUCUCGAGGCCUAUAACUAUAUCUGCUGUGUUGGUGCAACUGGAUUGAAGAAAGGACAUUUAUCUUAAUAUUUCAGCCUUCCUUGGGUGCGGUUUUGUAGAUUUGAAGUUACAGUGCAUAACCAAGUACACAAUCAAUAUGAGGAUGGUGAGGCAGUGGAACAGGUUGAUGCAGUUGAUGCCCCAUUCAAGGAUUCCCAGGCUAUUUCAUUACACAUCAAGAGAUGUGACAGAAGUAUCCCUGCUAUGUGAGGCAUAAUGGAAAAAUUACUGUGGGAGAAAGGCGGAUAAUAGCUUCUUUAGUAGCCUUACUCCAUAAGAUAUUUCAACCUAAUCACCAGGUAAUAAAGUUAGUCAGAAGUUGGCUUUAAAAAUACACCAGUAAAGAGAAAGUUCAGAAAUGACAUCUAGAAUUUCCAGGAUGAAGUUCAAUAUAUUGAAAAUGCUGAGAAAUUUGUGCUGAAUUUUUUCAUAAUUCUGUUCUUUAUGCUUUAAGAAUCUUUUGAUUCAUUUAUGUAUGCAUAGAAAAAGUUAUAUUAAAAUGUAAACUGUAAGUGAUUUUAUAUGAAAUUCUAACAACUCAUCAUCCAAUCACUUGACCUUUCUAUGACCACAGAAAACCUCUGGAUAUGUUCUCUUUCAGAAAGUUAAGCUUUUUUCUCCAAAAAUUAUUGAUGUUCUUCUCUCUGCAAAUGUCAUAAGAAAAUUGUAAAAGUCCCUUGUGUAUUACUGUUUUAGAAGAAUAUCACACAAGCAGGGUAAAAUCUAGUGGGCUUGUUAACGAUGUUACUAUUUUGUGUCUUUUCAUUUUUUACUUUUCAAGUAGAUCUGUCUACUUUUUAGUAAUUUAUCUACAAACCAUAUUUACAGAGGUACCCACACUGUAGCUCUGGCUCAGUAUGCAUGUUUCAGGAGAAGCCUGUGAAAGAAACAACCAUUCUAUGAUUCUAUGAAACAAUUUCUUUCCUACUUAGUUUGGUUCAGAGUGCAGUACUACUACCAGGAAUGGCUCAAGCAGUCACUUGUAGGCCUUCAUUGUUUAAACAGCUGCAUAGACAAUUUAACUUAGUAUAUCCGUGUCCAUCAUCAGAUGAUUCACUUUGUUUAAGUGGACAGUGAAUGUUACUCAGGCUGAAUUGCAUGGGGGGGGGGGGGGGGUGUGAAGAAAAAGAGGAACUUUCCUAAUCAAAAUGUGAUGCUAAAUCAUAUCAUUUACAAAAAAACUUUUUAAUCUUAUCUUCUGAGGCCACUGUGACAAAACUGAUGGUUAUACUGUUAAUCAGAGCCACUAAGUUAUUAUACUGUUUUCAGCAGAGACUGGGGAUUUUUCCUCCAUUCCAAGUCUUAUCUGGUAGAUCUGUUAGUAGAUUUGCAUUCUGCCUGCUUGGGAGAUCUUGCACGUACCAUUGUAUUUAAGAUCACUGAAAAAAGUCCUCAAGAAGAAAUUUUCCAGCAUAGGUUCUUGAAAUCAGGCCUUAUAUUGCAUGGGGAAUGAGAUCUACAGUCUGCUUUGAAAAACUGCUGAGCAGUUACAGCUACAAAAUUUCAAUGGUUGUUCACAAAUACGGAAUGCCUUUAAAAAGACUAACAUGUGCAGAUCUCCAGAGACAAAUAUUUCUCACCCUAAAUGUCAGUUUCCUACUCCAAACCAUGGUUUUCCAGAAAGACACUCACGGUUUAAAUUAAGAAACCAGCAGUAUUCAUCCUGGCUAAGAGACAGUCAAAACCAGUGUCUUAACGCUUUUCAAGCAAGUACUCUAUCAGUCCAUUCAUCUGUAUCAGCACCCUUAAAAAAAAAAAAAAGGAGAGAGAGAAAGAGAGAGAAAUCUAGAAUGUAAAGACUAAUAGAGAAGGUGGGAACCAAAGCAAAUUCCAUGUAAAUGGGGAAUGUUUAGGUUGUCAGAAUGUGAGGAGCAGUUGAGUGAAAAUUUUGUGGUAGAACAGUACUUUUUGGUAUCAGAUACUAAUGAUUUAAUAAUAGUGUAUUGUAAGUACAUUUCUAAUAUUUAAAAUGGGAUUCUUCCUUCUAGGCACCUUACCAAAUGGCUAGACAUUUUAUGGCAAUUUAAAUUGACAAUUCAUGAAUUAAACAAUUUUAUCUGCUGUUUAUAGUCGUAUUUCCACGCAAAUGUUAGCUCUGAGCAACAGUAGUAAUUGAACUAGAUGUGGUAGCUAACAAUCACUAGCUCCCUAACAGCAAAAUUAGAAAACCCAACUUUACUAUGAUAAGACAGGAUAUAGGAUGUAUUUGAAUAAAAAAAUAAAGGAGAAAACAUUUCUUAUACUUCAAGAUGCGUUAGCUAAACUGCAUUUCUUGCUAACAAAUCUGUCUUCGCUAAAUAAACAUAUUUUACUAUACAAAACUUAAAAAGCUUUUUAAUUUUGGUGAUCCUUUAGGUUCUGAGGAAAUCUCAACAAACUAAAUUGUCUUGCGAAAACAUCAAUAUACAGUAAAAGUAUGCUUUAAUUUAAGCUUGAUUUACCAGCACAAAAAUGGCUUAGAUAAGGGUGCCCUCUAAUGGAGACUGUGGCUAUGAAGUCUUGUUAAGGUUUUUUAGCUUUUGAAUAAACUACAUAGACCUGAUUUUCUUUACAAAUCAGUAUAAGUGGACUUUGAAUAAACUUCAGCAAGAUAAAGUUAAUAAAACAUGCAAUUUGAAAAGCAGAUACUUCCUCUGAAAUAAGAGCUCACUUUCUACAUCAUACACUCCCAUGAAAUCCUUUUUUCAGGGCAAGUUGACAAUGAACUACAGCAACAAUUGGAUUUCUCUCUCAGUUAAAGACAGAAAUUGUGCAAAUAUUAGAAAUAAUGGAGAGAAAACUUAAUCAACUUGUGGGUAAAAGGGAUUUAGAAUAGUUGAGGAAAUGCUUGUGGGUUUUUUGCUUGUUUGUUUGUUUUGGGU
Molecule: long non-coding RNA, 8990 nt
Filed under: Gallus gallus (chicken)
Lineage: Eukaryota; Metazoa; Chordata; Aves; Galliformes; Phasianidae
Source: RNAcentral